CUGUUCCGGGGUGGAAGCUUUGUACUUUUGCUCUUUGCAGUAAGUCUUGCUACUGCUCACUCUUUUGGUCCACAAUGCCUUUAUGAGCUGUAACACUCACUGUGAAGGUCUGCAGCUUCACUCCUGAAACCAGCGAGACCACGAACUCACCAGAAGGAAGAAACUCUGAACACAUCCGAACAUCAGAAGGAACCAACUCCGGCCACGCCACCUUUAAGAAAGUUCUCUGCAUGAGGCCUGAUCGCAAGGAAUUAAGGACAAGCCAAUCAGCACUGAGUAGAACAACACUAAGGUUCCUUUAGUUUUUUUUUUUUUCCUUUGGAGAUGGAGUCUCACUGUCAUUAGGCUGGAGUCCAUGGCACAAUCUCGGCUCACUGCAACCUUCGCCUCCCU
Symphalangus syndactylus (siamang) is the source of this 393-nucleotide long non-coding RNA. RefSeq lists it as uncharacterized. NCBI's taxonomy places the organism in Eukaryota, Metazoa, Chordata, Mammalia, Primates, Hylobatidae. The record is from RefSeq and is a predicted model, not a curated record.